Molecule: ribosomal RNA, 376 nt
Filed under: uncultured delta proteobacterium
Lineage: Bacteria; Deltaproteobacteria
Description: bacterial SSU rRNA
Rfam family: Bacterial small subunit ribosomal RNA
Source: RNAcentral
CCGGGAUAAGCCCACGAGGUCUAUGGAUCUUGCGGGAAAAGGGGGGACCUUCGGGCCUUCUGUCAUCAGAUGAGUCCGCGUACCAUUAGCUAGUUGGCGGGGUAAAGGCCCACCAAGGCGACGAUGGUUAGCUGGUUUGAGAGAAUGAUCAGCCACACUGGAACUGAGACACGGUCCAGACUCCUACGGGAGGCAGCAGUGGGGAAUUUUGCGCAAUGGGCGAAAGCCUGACGCAGCAACGCCGCGUGAGUGAUGAAGGCCUUCGGGUCGUAAAGCUCUGUCAAGAGGGAAGAAAUGUAUACUGGCUAAUACCCAGUAUGCUUGACGGUACCUCUGGAGGAAGCACCGGCUAACUCCGUGCCAGCAGCCGCGGUAA